This 253-nucleotide ribosomal RNA is filed under the name uncultured bacterium. RNAcentral's name for it is "partial 16S ribosomal RNA". It matches the Rfam family "Bacterial small subunit ribosomal RNA", at positions 524 to 776 of the family's 1533-position model. The record is from RNAcentral.
UACGUAGGGGGCAAGCGUUGUCCGGAAUCAUUGGGCGUAAAGCGCGUGUAGGCGGCUCGGUAAGUCUGCUGUGAAAGUCCAGGGCUCAACCCUGGGAUGCCGGUGGAUACUGUCGAGCUCGAGUCCGGAAGAGGCGAGUGGAAUUCCUGGUGUAGCGGUGAAAUGCGCAGAUAUCAGGAGGAACACCGGUGGCGAAGGCGGCGCGCUGGGCUGGAACUGACGCUGAGGAGCGAAAGCGUGGGGAGCAAACAGG